AAUAAGUGCAGUUUUGCACUAUUCACGUUCAACGUUUGACCGUCCGUCUUAUUUGAAAAAUUUAUGAAAAAAUUAAAAAUAUUUAGUCACAUAUAAAGUACUAUUCAUGUUUUAUCAUCUAAUAGCAAUAAAAAUACUAAUCAUAAAAAAUUUUCAAAUAAGACGGACGGUCAAACGUUGAACAUGAAUAGUGCAAAACUGCACUUAUU
RNAcentral lists this microRNA precursor (209 nucleotides) under Oryza sativa Japonica Group (Japanese rice). RNAcentral describes it as "MIR812 microRNA precursor family". It matches the Rfam family "MIR812 microRNA precursor family". Lineage: Eukaryota; Viridiplantae; Streptophyta; Magnoliopsida; Poales; Poaceae. The record is from Rfam by way of RNAcentral.